This is a long non-coding RNA of Camellia sinensis, 1372 nucleotides long. RefSeq lists it as uncharacterized. The record is from RefSeq and is a predicted model, not a curated record. NCBI's taxonomy places the organism in Eukaryota, Viridiplantae, Streptophyta, Magnoliopsida, Ericales, Theaceae.
UCCGCUGAGGUUCUGGGAUAUGGAACAGUUUAAUUCGAUUAUUAUAAGUAAAAGAUCAGAAGUGCACAGAAGUUCAGCAAGAUUGUAAUUGAGGCCCCCUAACCCAAGGCUUGUGAAUUUUUUUAAACCCUAGAACUCAGUGGUUGAAGCAUUGUCCAAAAAUUAGAAGAAAUCGAAGCCAGACACUUCGAAUCCGAGGGAAGAAAGCAAGAUUUGAGACCCAAGAGCUUAUGAAUUUUUCUGAAUCCUAGAACCUGGUGGUUGAAGUGUUGACCCAGAAUUAGCAGAUACCGAAGCUAAACACUUUGAAUCCGAGGGAAGAAGGACUUACAAGUGCUCUAGGGGAGAUUUGAGACCCAAGACUCUCUCUCUAACUCUCUCCCAUAUGAGAAUGAUCUAGCUUCUGCACUGUGACUUGUGUGGGUGAUACUUAUUUUGUAGUAUCACUCCAUUGCUGGGUUGGUUGUUCACAUCCUGGAAGCAAGUAAUUUACCCACGAGAUUCUUCGUUUCAGGCUCUACUAAAAGGUUCCUUAGAAUCUAAAGCGCAACAAGGCCUAGUACCUUCAAUUCACCCAAAAACAAUCAGUAUGCUCAAUGGUGGAGGACGAGCAGGCAGUGGAAGUAGUAAGCAAGUACCUUUGUUGCUCUUAAAAACACCAAACAGUAUUUUCAAUUGUAAAGAAGAAGAAGAUAAUGAAAGUAGUAAGCAAGUACCUUCAUUGCUCCUAAAAAAUACAAACAGUAUUUUCAAUGGCAAAGGAGAAGAAGGCAGUGAACAUAGGAAGCAAGUACCUUCAUUGCUCCUAAAAAAUACAAAUAGUAUGUUCAAUGGCAAAAGAGAAACAAACAGUAUGUUCAAUGGCAAAGGAGAAGAAGGCAGUGGACAUAGGAAACAAGUACCUUCAUUGCUCCUAAAAAAUACAAAUAGUAUGUUCAAUGGCAAAGGAGAAACAAACAGUAUGUUCAAUGGCAAAGGAGAAGAAGGCAGUGGACAUAGGAAGAAAGUACCUUCAUUGCUCCUAAAAAAUACAAAUAGUAUUUUUAAUGGCAAAUGAAAAGAAGGCAGUGGACAUAUGAAGCAAGUACCUUCAGUGCGCUCAUUGCUCAGUGAAAAUAGUACGCAAGUAUCUUCAUUGCACAAUGGAAAUAAUAAGUAAGUGAAGUCCCUUCAGAAGAAAGGGCCAACCAUGAGCACCUCGCAGAGUAAAAAAAAAAAAUAUAUAUAUAUAUAUAUAGCAUCCAUCCUUGGCCCCUGUUUGCUGUAUUUGCUUGAAAGAAUAAGCCUAUCAUUGGCCUCUUGUUUGUUUCACAAUUUUAUUUUAUUUUAUUUUUUAUUUUUAUUAUUAUUUUUUUUGAAUAAGCCUCUAUCG